Acanthosepion pharaonis is the source of this 107-nucleotide non-coding RNA. NCBI's taxonomy places the organism in Eukaryota, Metazoa, Mollusca, Cephalopoda, Sepiida, Sepiidae. The record is from the annotation of a GenBank genome assembly.
CUAUAUUGCAUUGAAACACCAGUUCUUGUCUGAUCAUCAAAGUUAAGCAACAUUGAGCCUGGUCAGGACUCAAAUGGGUGAUCACUGGGGAAUACCAGGUGCUGUAA